UACAGCCAUAUCACACUGAAACACUGGUUCCUGUACAAUCAUCAAAGUUAAGCAAUGUUCAGCCUGAUCAGUACCUCGAUGGGUGACCAUUUGGGAAUACCA
This 102-nucleotide ribosomal RNA is filed under the name Acanthosepion pharaonis. Lineage: Eukaryota; Metazoa; Mollusca; Cephalopoda; Sepiida; Sepiidae. The record is from RNAcentral.